GGACAGCUCUCUCGCUCGCGCUCUCGCUCUCGCUCGCGCUCGCUUCAUUCACCUCCCGGACUUUUCUUUUCUUUCGCCUUUUUUGUUUUCCUCUCGUUUCACCCACAUCUCUAUCUCUCUCUUGAGUGUCUGUCCUUCGCGCGUGCCACUCACUACUCGGGAUAUAUAGCGUGCUCAACUCAAGGUUCUUCACUUGGGAACUUUCUCAAGCUGACAGCUUGACACAGCCCUGCUACAGCUAUUGUAAAGGUAGGAACCCUGUUAUUGUACCUACAGCAUAUGCUCAUAUGGUCAUAAAGUCGUGUACUGAUGUGCCAAGAAGUCAUGGGACAGUGUAGACAUGGGAACUAGUUUGUGCAUGGACAGUUGAAGCCAGAAGUCUUCAGUCACCAUCAUUACCAAGCAUAACCACUAGACUGUCCAAUGUGGGUAGAAAGAAGACUAGAAAUCUUCUAUAAGGUAUUCCCUAUACACAUAAAACACUGUGUAUCAAGGAAUAUUAUUAAAUAUUAUCAAAAUGAGUCGAAUACAAGUAAAGGGAAGGUCCCAUGCCUUAAUAAUCUCCAGAUAACACUCAAGAUAACACCACAGACAUCACAUUAUGCAUUUUACAGGUUCAAGCCAUCCACUGAGAUUCUUACCUACUUGACAGGUACUGU
Molecule: long non-coding RNA, 659 nt
Filed under: Astyanax mexicanus (Mexican tetra)
Lineage: Eukaryota; Metazoa; Chordata; Actinopteri; Characiformes; Acestrorhamphidae
Description: lncRNA (ENSAMXG00005024739.1)
Source: RNAcentral